Molecule: long non-coding RNA, 627 nt
Filed under: Dromaius novaehollandiae (emu)
Lineage: Eukaryota; Metazoa; Chordata; Aves; Casuariiformes; Dromaiidae
Description: lncRNA (ENSDNVG00000013130.1)
Source: RNAcentral
AGAACUUGCCUGCCGUUCAUGAAGCAWAAGGAUUAUUUCCUCUGUCUUAUACAUGAAACUUCUGUUUUGACAUCUCAUGCAUCAUGCCACUGAAACAGGCUUUCCAGCUGCAUGUUCCCAGCUGUGACCAACUGAAGGGAGAGAAUUACCAAAUAAGAACAGGCUGAACAAGACAAUAAUCUCCUCCAAUCAAAGCCUGCCAGGCUUGAAGACAGUCCAGAGUCUCUGUAGCACUGUGUGAAUCAGUCCUGCCUCUGGCAUGCCUUGGCCCCAGGAUAUGCUGCACACACCCUUUUGCCCAGCUGGAGAGGACUUCACUGAAUGAAUGGCUUUUKGCAGCCUUCCAUAUGGCUUACCUUGACAUAUCCUUCUCUCAAGAGGGCUGAGAACGCUGUGCAGUCCUCUUCUAAGCUACUGCCAAAACUGCCUCUGCUAUUGAGCAGUGCCAUGGCCGUUCUGCUCAUCCCGCCAUUGCAUGCAUGUGUGAUAGUUCGGAUGACACGAAUGAUGGACGUGAUCUUCAUGUCUGACACAGAGAGGGAGCUGUUGAGGCUGCAAAUAGCAACAAGCAAAAAAAUCAAGAGUCAGGUGCAUCUGUACCAAAAUAACAGUCAUAUGGAUCGAUAG